Molecule: long non-coding RNA, 878 nt
Filed under: Homo sapiens (human)
Lineage: Eukaryota; Metazoa; Chordata; Mammalia; Primates; Hominidae
Description: HSALNT0182785
Source: RNAcentral
ACGGGAUGAGAUCUUCCUGACCCCCAACCUCUCCCUGCCCCUGUGGGAGUGGAGGCCAGACUGGUUGGAAGACAUGGAGGUCAGCCACACCCAGCGGCUGGGAAGGGGGAUGCCUCCCUGGCCCCCUGACUCUCAGAUCUCUUCCCAGAGAAGUCAGCUCCACUGUCGUAUGCCCAAGGCUGGUGCUUCUCCUGUAGAUUACUCCUGAACCGUGUCCCUGAGACUUCCCAGACGGGAAUCAGAACCACUUCUCCUGUCCACCCACAAGACCUGGGCUGUGGUGUGUGGGUCUUGGCCUGUGUUUCUCUGCAGCUGGGGUCCACCUUCCCAAGCCUCCAGAGAGUUCUCCCUCCACGAUUGUGAAAACAAAUGAAAACAAAAUUAGAGCAAAGCUGACCUGGAGCCCUCAGGGAGCAAAACAUCAUCUCCACCUGACUCCUAGCCACUGCUUUCUCCUCUGUGCCAUCCACUCCCACCACCAGGUUGUUUUGGCCUGAGGAGCAGCCCUGCCUGCUGCUCUUCCCCCACCAUUUGGAUCACAGGAAGUGGAGGAGCCAGAGGUGCCUUUGUGGAGGACAGCAGUGGCUGCUGGGAGAGGGCUGUGGAGGAAGGAGCUUCUCGGAGCCCCCUCUCAGCCUUACCUGGGCCCCUCCUCUAGAGAAGAGCUCAACUCUCUCCCAACCUCACCAUGGAAAGAAAAUAAUUAUGAAUGCCACUGAGGCACUGAGGCCCUACCUCAUGCCAAACAAAGGGUUCAAGGCUGGGUCUAGCGAGGAUGCUGAAGGAAGGGAGGUAUGAGACCGUAGGUCAAAAGCACCAUCCUCGUACUGUUGUCACUAUGAGCUUAAGAAAUUUGAUACCAUAAAAUGGUAAAGACU